GACGAACGCUGGCGGCGUGCCUAAUACAUGCAAGUAGAACGCUGAAGAGAGGAGCUUGCUCUUCUUGGAUGAGUUGCGAACGGGUGAGUAACGCGUAGGUAACCUGCCUUGUAGCGGGGGAUAACUAUUGGAAACGAUAGCUAAUACCGCAUAACAAUGGAUGACACAUGUCAUUUAUUUGAAAGGGGCAAUUGCUCCACUACAAGAUGGACCUGCGUUGUAUUAGCUAGUAGGUGAGGUAACGGCUCACCUAGGCGACGAUACAUAGCCGACCUGAGAGGGUGAUCGGCCACACUGGGACUGAGACACGGCCCAGACUCCUACGGGAGGCAGCAGUAGGGAAUCUUCGGCAAUGGGGGCAACCCUGACCGAGCAACGCCGCGUGAGUGAAGAAGGUUUUCGGAUCGUAAAGCUCUGUUGUAAGUCAAGAACGAGUGUGAGAGUGGGAAGUUCACACUGUGACGGUAGCUUACCAGAAAGGGACGGCUAACUACGUGCCAGCAGCCGCGGUAAUACGUAGGUCCCGAGCGUUGUCCGGAAUUAUUGGGCGUAAAGCGAGCGCAGGCGGUUUGAUAAGUCUGAAGUUAAGGCUGUGGCUCAACCAUAGUUCGCUUUGGAAACUGUCAAACUUGAGUGCAGAAGGGGAGAGUGGAAUUCCAUGUGUAGCGGUGAAAUGCGUAGAUAUAUGGAGGAACACCGGUGGCGAAAGCGGCUCUCUGGUCUGUAACUGACGCUGAGGCUCGAAAGCGUGGGGAGCGAACAGGAUUAGAUACCCUGGUAGUCCACGCCGUAAACGAUGAGUGCUAGGUGUUGGAUCCUUUCCGGGAUUCAGUGCCGCAGCUAACGCAUUAAGCACUCCGCCUGGGGAGUACGACCGCAAGGUUGAAACUCAAAGGAAUUGACGGGGGCCCGCACAAGCGGUGGAGCAUGUGGUUUAAUUCGAAGCAACGCGAAGAACCUUACCAGGUCUUGACAUCCCGAUGCUAUUUCUAGAGAUAGAAAGUUACUUCGGUACAUCGGUGACAGGUGGUGCAUGGUUGUCGUCAGCUCGUGUCGUGAGAUGUUGGGUUAAGUCCCGCAACGAGCGCAACCCCUAUUGUUAGUUGCCAUCAUUCAGUUGGGCACUCUAGCGGGACUGCCGGUAAUAAACCGGAGGAAGGUGGGGAUGACGUCAAAUCAUCAUGCCCCUUAUGACCUGGGCUACACACGUGCUACAAUGGUUGGUACAACGAGUUGCGAGUCGGUGACGGCAAGCUAAUCUCUUAAAGCCAAUCUCAGUUCGGAUUGUAGGCUGCAACUCGCCUACAUGAAGUCGGAAUCGCUAGUAAUCGCGGAUCAGCACGCCGCGGUGAAUACGUUCCCGGGCCU
This 1368-nucleotide ribosomal RNA is filed under the name uncultured bacterium. RNAcentral describes it as "bacterial SSU rRNA". It matches the Rfam family "Bacterial small subunit ribosomal RNA", at positions 28 to 1381 of the family's 1533-position model. The record is from RNAcentral.